This 460-nucleotide ribosomal RNA is filed under the name uncultured bacterium. RNAcentral's name for it is "partial 16S ribosomal RNA". It matches the Rfam family "Bacterial small subunit ribosomal RNA", at positions 338 to 795 of the family's 1533-position model. The record is from RNAcentral.
CCUACGGGGGGCAGCAGUGAGGAAUAUUGGUCAAUGGGCGCGAGCCUGAACCAGCCAAGUCGCGUGAGGGAAGACGGCCCUACGGGUUGUAAACCUCUUUUGCCGGGGAGCAACGGGCGCCACGUGUGGCGCCACUGAGAGUACCCGGAGAAAAAGCAUCGGGUAACUCCGUGCCCGCAGCCGCGGUAAUACGGAGGUUGCGAGCGUUAUCCGGAUUUAUGGGGUUAAAAGGGUGCGUAGGCGGAGCGUUAAGUCAGUGGUAAAAUUGAGGGGCUAAACCCCUUCCCGCCAUUGAAACUGGCGCUCUUGAGUGGAAGAGAAGUAUGCGGAAUGCGUGGUGUAGCGGUGAAAUGCAUAGAUAUCACGCAGAACCCCGAUUGCGAAGGCAGCAUGCCGGCUUCCUACUGACGCUGAAGCACGAAAGCGUGGGGAUCGAACAGGAUUAGAUACCCCUGUAGUC